UGUUGCCUACGGGGCGCAGCAGUGGGGGAUAUUGCACAAUGGGGGAAACCCUGAUGCAGCGACGCCGCGUGAGUGAAGAAGUAUUUCGGUACGUAAAGCUCUAUCAGCAGGGAAGAAUAAUGACGGUACCUGACUAAGAAGCCCCGGCUAACUACGUGCCAGCAGCCGCGGUAAUACGUAGGGGGCAAGCGUUAUCCGGAUUUACUGGGUGUAAAGGGAGCGUAGACGGCCAGACAAGUCAGUAGUGAAAGCCCAGGGCUCAACCAUGGGCCGGCUUUUGAAACUGCCGGCCUGUGGUGCAGGGG
RNAcentral lists this ribosomal RNA (305 nucleotides) under uncultured bacterium. Its description in RNAcentral is "bacterial SSU rRNA". It matches the Rfam family "Bacterial small subunit ribosomal RNA", at positions 333 to 654 of the family's 1533-position model. The record is from RNAcentral.